GAUGAACGCUGGCGGCGUGCCUAAUACAUGCGAGUCGAGCGAACAGACGAGGAGCUUGCUCCUCUGACGUUAGCGGCGGACGGGUGAGUAACACGUGGAUACCAUACCUAUAAGACUGGGAUAACUUCGGGAAACCGGAGCGAAUACCGGAUAAUAUAUUGAACCGCAUGGUUCAAUAGUGAAAGACGGUUUUGCUGUUGCUUAUACAUGGAUCCGGGCCGGAUUAGCUAGUUGGUAAGGUAACGGCUUACCAAGGCGACGAUGCGUAGCCGUCCUGAGAGGGUGAUCGGCCACACUGGACCGGAGCCACGGUCCAGACUCCUACGGGAGGCAGCAGUAGGGAAUCUUCCGCAAUGGGCGAAAGCCUGACGGAGCAACGCCGCGUGAGUGAUGAAGGUCUUCGGAUCGUAAAACUCUGUUAUUAGGGAAGAACAAAUGUGUAAGUAACUAUGCACGUCUUGACGGUACCUAAUCAGAAAGCCACGGCUAACUACGUG
RNAcentral lists this ribosomal RNA (497 nucleotides) under uncultured bacterium. RNAcentral describes it as "partial 16S ribosomal RNA". It matches the Rfam family "Bacterial small subunit ribosomal RNA", at positions 28 to 507 of the family's 1533-position model. The record is from RNAcentral.